This 84-nucleotide non-coding RNA is filed under the name pig gut metagenome. Its description in RNAcentral is "NiCo riboswitch". It matches the Rfam family "NiCo (Nickel/Cobalt) riboswitch aptamer". The record is from RNAcentral.
ACAGUACAAACUGAGCAGACCGUAACAUUCUUGUUAUGGGGUCGGGUCACAAUGUGACAGUGGAACUUGCAUCCAUGGGACAGU